AAAAAGACAGCGAAAAUGACCAGCCAAAAUAAAGAUUAAAGAGACAAAAAAAUGCGUAUAUCUUGGUGUAGAUGAUUUAUCCUCAAUUUCUUAUAAUUAAACAAAAAAUAUUAUUAAAUUUUGGAAUUUACCUGUAACUCUAAACUCUUUACAGAAGUUCAAUGUUUGCUCUGAGAAGUUGGAUUAACAAAAUUUAUUAAAUGUGCAAUUUGUAUCUUAAACAUUAACGAGAAUUGUUUUGUGUUAGUGCCAGAAAUUAAAUGCACACCUGCAAAUUUCAUAAUUCAUAAAAAUAUUAUGAAUCCAUUUGCAAAUAAAGUUGUAUCCUUAAAAGAUAUGCUGGUUUUAUUGGCAUAAUGGGCAAGCAUUGAAGUGCAACUUGGUGAACUACAAAAUACAUCAAAUUCAGUUAUAAAAAUUUGAGUAACAAAGGUAUGCUAAUUAUUGUAUUGCCUGAACGAGUAUCAUUGCAGUUAAAAGAAGUGAAGAAUUCAAGGACUCUGGAAAAAAAAGACAAGAAAAUACUUAAGUAAAUGGUCAAUUAUUUGGCACAAAUUGGAGUUAAAGACGAAGGAGAUUGUAUAUGUUAUUUGCUAAGAAUAGUUUUUUAAAAUGGCCUAGCUGUAAAAUUAAACUAUGCAGGGAGAGGACAAAAAAUUGGAA
This is a non-coding RNA of Hydra vulgaris (swiftwater hydra), 663 nucleotides long. The record is from RefSeq and is a predicted model, not a curated record. NCBI's taxonomy places the organism in Eukaryota, Metazoa, Cnidaria, Hydrozoa, Anthoathecata, Hydridae.